GAGGGGGGCUUGCCAGCAACGAAAAUUGCUAACCCUCGUUACCUCGGUUGGAUUCCGGAGCCCUCUCGCCAU
This 72-nucleotide transfer RNA is filed under the name Pseudogobius sp. C 'spotted'. Its description in RNAcentral is "tRNA-Ser". Lineage: Eukaryota; Metazoa; Chordata; Actinopteri; Gobiiformes; Gobiidae. The record is from RNAcentral.